UGGAAACAGAGGCUCUGUGACAUCUCCAGUGAGCUUAUUAUCUUCUGAUCAGCUUAAUUUUAGGAGGUAACUGGUCCAAGACCCUAACACUCUGGGAGUGUUAGAACCAUGUAACCUCAGUAUGCCAGGAUAAUCCUGAGCUCAUCCAUUGCCAGCUGGUUAUGAAACCUCGUUUCCCACCAUGAAGUCAUAGGUACUAACCAAAGAAGAGAUAUUGGUGCAAUAAAGAUUAUUCUCCAGGGCUGAUGUUCUAUGAGGAAGCUUGAAGAGUUGAGAUCCAUAGGAGGAAAUGUAGAUGGUAUAAAGGAGAACUGAUUUGAAGAAAGAGCACAAAACCAAGAAGGAGGAACUCCUGUCCCACUUAAUAAUCUACUUAUGUGAUGAGUUUAUACCACCUGUGCUAUUGGAAGGACACUGACGAGGUCCCCAGAACAACACAUGCUGCACCAACACACAACCUUGUGUCUUAAAUGAGCUCAGGGAAACAAGCAACUUUCCAAAACAUUUAUAGGAAAUACAAGAUAUAACAAGUGCGUUUGUGUAUGUGUGUAUUUUAUGUGUGUUAUUUUGUCCUUGAGGGAUUAGGUAUGUGUUCAGUAUAUUGAUUCUGAACUUAGUUUUGGGGAUAGGAUGUAUCACCCAAAUUAUUUCCAGAUUUUCUGAUGAAGGUUUUUCAGUGGCUGCUUCAGUCAGCAGCAUGUGGACUCCAGACCAAAGUCCCACUAUGUUGACUCAGCUUCAGUUCCUGAAGCAAGACUCCUCAUUUCACUCUGAGGGAAGAAUUAGAAAUAAAGAAUAAGCCUUCUUUAAACUGUCAAGUUGAGAUUUUUGAGUUAACUUUUUUUCCCUCAUUUUUUUUUUUUUUUGAGGAAGAUUAGCCCUGAGCUAACUACUGCCAGUCCUCCUCUUUUUGCUGAGGAAGGCUGGCACUGAGCUAACAUCG
This 943-nucleotide long non-coding RNA is filed under the name Equus caballus (horse). Its description in RNAcentral is "lncRNA (ENSECAG00000048906.1)". The record is from RNAcentral. Lineage: Eukaryota; Metazoa; Chordata; Mammalia; Perissodactyla; Equidae.